GGAACAGGCCAGUCUCCAGGUGGGGGCAGGCCAGCCGUCUCCCGCCAGCUCAUCCUGCCUCCCCCGUCAGCCUCCCCACAGCCGAGGGCACACCCCGGAUAUGUGGGGAUGGGACAGUGUGGCCCGCCUCAGCUCCCCAAGGCCCUCCCUCCAGUGUGUCUACAGUGUCCUGAGAUUGGAAGCUGGCUCAGGCAUGGGGAAUGAGGCACUCAGGGGACCCUGGGUGGCUGGGCCACAGAAGAAAAUGUCCGCCAGACCCCCACACCCUGGCCAGUGAGCGGAGGCUGCCCCCUCCCCCUGUGCCAGGAGCAGAGCUGGCCCCUGGUGCAGGGUGCUCGGGCCAGCAGCCCACUGAACCCCAGGGGAAGUUGGCUCGGAC
This 379-nucleotide long non-coding RNA is filed under the name Marmota monax (woodchuck). The record is from RNAcentral. Lineage: Eukaryota; Metazoa; Chordata; Mammalia; Rodentia; Sciuridae.